GGAGGGGGAGCAAGAUGAAGUCACAGACUCAGGUCCUCAUAUCCCUGCUGCUUUGGGUGUCUGGUGCCUGUGCAGACAUUGUGAUGACCCAGUCUCCAUCCUCCCUGGCUGUGUCAGCAGGAGAGAAGGUCACCAUCAGCUGCAAGUCCAGUCAGAGUCUUUAUUACAGUAACAACCAAAAGAACUUAUUGUCCUGGUACCAGCAGAAACCAGGGCAGUCCCCUAAGCUGCUGAUUUACUGGGCAUCCAGUAGGCACACUGGGGUCCCUGAUCGUUUCACAGGCAGUGGAUCUGGGACAGAUUACACUCUCAGCAUCAGCAGUGUGCAGGCUGAAGACCUGGCAGUUUAUUACUGUAUGCAGGGUUACUUCCCUCCCACACUAAAUCUUAUCCUCUUUCUGACCAUUUACUUACUCCCUUACACUGUUGUCUCCAUUCUCUUCUAUGGAACUCUGCUGACUACUGUUUACUAUGGCCACAAUAAACACCUUUCAAUCUCCUAUUAA
This is a non-coding RNA of Meriones unguiculatus (Mongolian gerbil), 506 nucleotides long. NCBI's taxonomy places the organism in Eukaryota, Metazoa, Chordata, Mammalia, Rodentia, Muridae. The record is from the annotation of a RefSeq genome assembly.